GGGGACCAUCCUCCAAGGCUAAAUACUCCUGACUGACCGAUAGUGAACCAGUACCGUGAGGGAAAGGCGAAAAGAACCCCGGCGAGGGGAGUGAAAAAGAACCUGAAACCGUGUACGUACAAGCAGUGGGAGCACCCUUUGGGGUGUGACUGCGUACCUUUUGUAUAAUGGGUCAGCGACUUAUAUUCUGUAGCAAGGUUAACCGAAUAGGGGAGCCGUAGGGAAACCGAGUCUUAACCGGGCGUUAAGUUGCAGGGUAUAGACCCGAAACCCGGUGAUCUAGCCAUGGGCAGGUUGAAGGUUGGGUAACACUAACUGGAGGACCGAACCGACUAAUGUUGAAAAAUUAGCGGAUGACCUGUGGCUGGGGGUGAAAGGCCAAUCAAACCGGGAGAUAGCUGGUUCUCCCCGAAAGCUAUUUAGGUAGCGCCUCGUGAAUUCAUCUCCGGGGGUAGAGCACUGUUUCGGCUAGGGGGCCAUCCCGGCUUACCAACCCGAUGCAAACUGCGAAUACCGGAGAAUGUUAUCACGGGAGACACACGGCGGGUGCUAACGUCCGUCGUGAAGAGGGAAACAACCCAGACCGCCAGCUAAGGUCCCAAAGUCAUGGUUAAGUGGGAAACGAUGUGGGAAGGCCCAGACAGCCAGGAUGUUGGCUUAGAAGCAGCCAUCAUUUAAAGAAAGCGUAAUAGCUCACUGGUCGAGUCGGCCUGCGCGGAAGAUGUAACGGGGCUAAACCAUGCACC
This 746-nucleotide ribosomal RNA is filed under the name Salmonella enterica. Its description in RNAcentral is "partial 23S ribosomal RNA". It matches the Rfam family "Bacterial large subunit ribosomal RNA", at positions 448 to 1195 of the family's 2925-position model. The record is from RNAcentral. Lineage: Bacteria; Pseudomonadati; Pseudomonadota; Gammaproteobacteria; Enterobacterales; Enterobacteriaceae.